AUUGAACGCUGGCGGCAGGCCUAACACAUGCAAGUCGAACGAUGACUCUCUAGCUUGCUAGAGAAGAUUAGUGGCGGACGGGUGAGUAACAUUUAGGAAUCUGCCUAGUAGUGGGGGAUAGCUCGGGGGAACUCGAAUUAAUACCGCAUACGACCUACGGGUGAGAGGGGGCGCAAGCUCUUGCUAUUAGAUGAGCCUAAAUCAGAUUACCUAGUUGGUGGGGUAAAGGCCUACCAAGGCGACGAUCUGUAACUGGUCUGAGAGGAUGAUCAGUCACACCGGAACUGAGACACGGUCCGGACUCCUACGGGAGGCAGCAGUGGGGAAUAUUGGACAAUGGGGGCAACCCUGAUCCAGCCAUGCCGCGUGUGUGAAGAAGGCCUUUUGGUUGUAAAGCACUUUAAGCAGGGAGGAGAGGCUAAUGGUUAAUACCCAUUAGAUUAGACGUUACCUGCAGAAUAAGCACCGGCUAACUCUGUGCCAGCAGCCGCGGUAAUACAGAGGGUGCGAGCGUUAAUCGGAAUUACUGGGCGUAAAGCGAGUGUAGGUGGCUCAUUAAGUCACAUGUGAAAUCCCCGGGCUUAACCUGGGAACUGCAUGUGAUACUGGUGGUGCUAGAAUAUGUGAGAGGGAAGUAGAAUUCCAGGUGUAGCGGUGAAAUGCGUAGAGAUCUGGAGGAAUACCGAUGGCGAAGGCAGCUUCCUGGCAUAAUAUUGACACUGAGAUUCGAAAGCGUGGGUAGCAAACAGGAUUAGAUACCCUGGUAGUCCACGCCGUAAACGAUGUCUACUAGCCGUUGGGGUCCUUGAGACUUUAGUGGCGCAGUUAACGCGAUAAGUAGACCGCCUGGGGAGUACGGCCGCAAGGUUAAAACUCAAAUGAAUUGACGGGGGCCCGCACAAGCGGUGGAGCAUGUGGUUUAAUUCGAUGCAACGCGAAGAACCUUACCUGGUCUUGACAUAGUGAGAAUCUCUCAGAGAUGAGAGAGUGCCUUCGGGAACUCACAUACAGGUGCUGCAUGGCUGUCGUCAGCUCGUGUCGUGAGAUGUUGGGUUAAGUCCCGCAACGAGCGCAACCCUUUUCCUUAUUUGCCAGCGGGUUAAGCCGGGAACUUUAAGGAUACUGCCAGUGACAAACUGGAGGAAGGCGGGGACGACGUCAAGUCAUCAUGGCCCUUACGACCAGGGCUACACACGUGCUACAAUGGUAGGUACAGAGGGUUGCUACACAGCGAUGUGAUGCUAAUCUCAAAAAGCCUAUCGUAGUCCGGAUUGGAGUCUGCAACUCGACUCCAUGAAGUCGGAAUCGCUAGUAAUCGCGGAUCAGAAUGCCGCGGUGAAUACGUUCCCGGGCCU
Molecule: ribosomal RNA, 1355 nt
Filed under: uncultured bacterium
Lineage: Bacteria
Description: bacterial SSU rRNA
Rfam family: Bacterial small subunit ribosomal RNA
Source: RNAcentral